UUCCUGGAUACUCAGUUUUCUGAUGGGCUAUAUCUCCCAGCUGUUGGUAGCAGGCAUUUUCUCAGCCUUCAGGUGAGCUAAGUUGUUACUUUCUUUCAUGCCCUCAUCCUGUAGGAAGCCUAGUGAAUAUAUUGCUGCCAUCUUAGAGCUCAGUGCCCUUGUGGCAAAACGGCACCAGCAGAUCUUCAUGCACAUGGACUUCCUGUACUACCUCACUCCAGAUGGGCAACGCUUCCGCAGAGCCUGCCGCCUGGUGCACAACUUCACAGAUGCUGUCAUCCAGGAACGGCGCCGCACUCUCCCCGAUGACGGUGUUGAUGACUUCCUCAAGGCCAAGGCUAAGGCCAAGACUUUGGACUUCAUUGAUGUGCUCCUGCUGACCAAGGUGGGUUUCUCUGGGAUCUGGAUUCAAGAGGUAGAAAGGACCUUGAUUUCAUAUUUCAAAUUGAAGACUUAGACUUGAUCCAGAGGGCACUGGGGAGUCAUGGGUGGUGUUUGAGGAAAGGAGGGAUGGAUUAGGGAUAUGUUUUAGGGAUGACUUUAUGGAAUGUAACCUGCAGGGGACUGCUAAGUCUACAACUGUGAAGGGCCUGAGAUUUUACUCUACUUAAUAAGGUAGUCAUGCGUGUGUGUGUGUGUGUGUGUGUGUGUGCGCGUGUGUAUUUAUUUAUUUGUAUAUUAGAAUCCAGAGAAGCCCAUUUGUUACUCACGGAAAUAAGGGUGGCCAUAGAAUUGUAGCCAUGGUUCCUCAUUCUAAAAUUCUUCUGAGAGCUACAUGAUGCUUUUAUCUGUACAUGCAACCAACCAUGCUUCCAUCAUAGGAGAGGUACCUCUACAUUAUGAAUCUUGGAACUUAUAUAGGACUGCUGAUACAUCUGCCCCUUCUUCUUCUUCUUCUCCUCCUCCUCUGCCUAUGUCUUGUCUUCCUCCCCUCCCCUUCCCCCUCCUCCUCCCUUCCCCCCUCCUCCUUUUCUUUCUCCUUCUUUCUCUUUCUUCUCCUUCUCCUUCUCCUUCUGUGUGUGUGAGAAAGAGAGAGGGAAGUAGAGAAAAGUGUUUUGGAGUGUAAACCAAUUGUCUUCACCAAGAAGGCAAAGUCUACAGGUUCUGUUGGCUUAUCACCAGGGGAGAUAAGGAAUCUCUGGAUUUACUAUCCAAGAAUGAGAGCAAAUGGCUCCAGAGCAAUGCUCAUUUCCAACUUCCAAGGGAAGUUGUCAUUCAGUCUCCUGUAAUCCAGGUGGCCAAUAACUUCUUUCCAGUAAGUCCUCACCAUGUAGAAACAUGAAGAUAUUCAUGGAUCACUGAUCCCUCUCACCAGGGACAAAACAGGAGGCAAAGAGGCCACGGAGGAGAAGGCCUGUGGGGUGGGGCCUCUGGUAAUAGUUUCUGGAUGGAUUAUGGAGCUUCAGAGAUUGUCUCAAGUUAGGCUUAUGAGCUCUCAGAGUGGAUAUGAUUUGCUGUGUGUGCGGGCGGGUGGGGUGGAGUGGUCUUAUACUCUCUCCAGGACAAAGAUGGAAAACAAUUGUCAGAUGAGGAUAUCCGAGCUGAAGCUGACACCUUCAUGUUUGGGGGUAAGCAUCCCAGUGUGGGACUGCAGGGGGUAGGAGUCUGUCCAAUCCCGGGGACUUGGCAGGUGGGUCCUGGACCACCCCAUCCCACCCCAUCUUCCCCUUCCUCCCUGAGGGCCUCAACAGAGGGCGCUGUCCGCCCUCUGGUGCUGAACAAGCCCAGAGACCCAAGCCUGUCUGGCUGCCUCUCAGGCCAUGACACCACGGCCAGUGGUCUCUCCUGGGUCCUGUACAACCUCGCGAAGCACCCAGAGUAUCAGGAGCGCUGUCGGCAGGAGGUGCAAGAGCUCCUGAGGGACCGUGAGCCUAAAGAGAUUGAAUGGUGAGUGCAGGUCCUCAUGUCCUGUUCUGGAACCCCUCUCAUUGGCUCUGCUCCCCUGCUGGGGAAGGGGAAAGAACUUUUUGUUGAUUGUGUCAUUAUUGCUUAGAGAGACUAGGAGCAGAAUCCAGAGGCCGGGGUCUGGUACCUAGCCUGGAGAGCAGGGGAAAGUGACAGAAAGAUCUGGACUGCUAAGAGAAUUAUUGACAAUUAUGAAGGCAGAUGAUACCACUUAGCACAUAUUCUGUAAGUGAACUUCCACUCCACUCCCUUACUUUUCUCUCCUAAAUCACACUCUCUCUGCCCCCCAAAUAUCUUCACUCCCUGAGUUUUUGCUUGUCUCUUGCCUCCUAACUCCUUCAAAACUGUUCAGCCUAGGAUUCAUGGGGGACACCUAGGGAUUGAAAUCAUUCAGUUCUUGUCCAGGAACACCUUCAUUCAUCCUGUCCCCAUUCAGAGAACACUGCCGCACUGCCUUUCUGUCCCCAGUUGUGUGCCAUCUCCAAUUCUACCAGCCCAUUCUGUGUCCUAGAGCUCCAGCCUGCUGGGGGAAUAGACUCAGAUCAGGACACCCUGGGUCCACCCCCUGGGCAGGGAUAGGAUGGAGAGUAAGAGAGGCAAGGAUAAGAGUAGAGAGAGUGUCUCAGCUGAGACCCUGAGUGAUGAUCAGUAGGUGUUUGGGUACAGUUGGGGUGCAGUUAAUUCAAGAGGACAGGGUGGACAAAAGGGAAGGGGAGGGGAGGAAUGGAAGAGGGAGAGGGAGAAGAGAGAGGGAAGGAGGGAGACAGGGAGAGAGAGAGAGAGAGAGAGAGAGAGAGAGAGAGACUUAAGUAGGCUCCAUGCUUACUGGAGAGGACGACAUAGGACUCCAUCACUUGAACCUUGAGAUCAUGACCUGAGAUUCAAUCAAGAGUCGGACACUCAACAAACUGAACCACCCAGGCACCCCCAGGAAGAUCUUUCUAGGGCUAGUGUGGGAAACAUACUGGAGAGGACAAGCUGUUGCAUGGGGACCAGGAAAAUGAUUCUGAGGCCUGGGACAGGCCAGGGUCUGGGGGAUGUUGAAGAGGCAUUGGACUGGACAGGCAUUUUUUACGUAAUAUUUUCCACUCCAAGCCUUCGCUCAGCACAGCAGUCCUGUGAGGUAGGGAAAUAUUUUUAAGCUUUUUCAACAAGACUUCAAACAAAAUUAUACACUUGGUAAAAAAAAAAAAAACUAUACAAAACAGAGUUUAGAGUAGAAAUGAAUUUUUUUUUUUAAAUUUUUUUUUCAACGUUUAUUUUUAUUUUUGGGACAGAGAGAGACAGAGCAUGAACGGGGGAGGGGCAGAGAGAGAGGGAGACACAGAAUCGGAAACAGGCUCCAGGCUCCGAGCCAUCAGCCCAGAGCCUGACGCGGGGCUCGAACUCACGGACCGCGAGAUCGUGACCUGGCUGAAGUCGGACGCUUAACCGACUGCGCCACCCAGGCGCCCCGAAAUGAACUUUUAAAAAAAUCCUUGCCCUAGGAGGAACACUUGUCAGUGAUUUUCUGUGUAUCCUUCCAGAAGACAUCUAUCUUUAUACCCACAUUUAUAUGAAAACUAUCUCCUCUCCCCUUCCAAGUGGGAAUUAAGGUCUACACAUUAACAACAUAUCCUUGAGAUCUCUUCCUUUUCCCAGAAUAUGAGUUUUUGAAAAAUAGUUUUGAAUUACAAAAGCAAUGAUGAGAACAAGUUCUUCUUGUUCUGAGACGUUACAAAGGAGACUAUGGUUAUCAUUAACAUCCUCCCCUGCCAACUUAAUCCCCUUUCUGUCUCCUGAGGGGUUUUUAAACUUUUAGACUCAUUGAUUUGCUAUGUCUCUUUCCAUAAUUAUCUAUCUAUCUAUCUAUUAUCUAUCAAUAACUAUCUAUCAUCUACCUAUGUAUCAUCCAUCUAUCUAUCAUCUAUAUCAUCUAUCUAUCAUCUAUCUAUCAUCUACUAUCAUCCAUUAUCUAUCUAUCUAUCUAUCUAUCUAUCAUCUAUCUAUCAUCUAUUAUCCAUCAUCUAUCUAUCACCUAUAUCACCUAUCUAUCACCUAUCUAUCAUCUAUCAUCUAUAUAAUCUUUUUGUCCAUUAACACAUUUUGCAUUUCCAUAUACAUACUGUUUGUAACUUGUUCCAUUCACUCAAAAGUGUGUCUUAUAGCUCCUUCUCUCUGUGUGCUGCAAAGCUUUCAGUGGUUUACUUGGUUCACCCCUUUGUUAAGGACCCUUAUGUUAGUAUUCUCAAUUAGAGUAGACAUUGCUGAAUUGCUUUCCAGAGUCUCUGUUUUGAUUUUCCUUUCAUCCUACAGUGUGUGAUAGGACUUGUGAACCAUAUUCCCCGCAUUCAUCCAUUCAUUCAUUCAGUGAUAGAGAUGGAAAGUGCAAGCAGAGGAGGGGCAGAGAAAGAAUCCCAAGCAGAGCCCAAUGCAGAGCCAAUGCCCACUGCCCAUGCAGAGCCCAAUGUGGGACUUUGACCCAUGAAUUGUGAGAUAAUGCCCUGAGCUGAGACCAAGAGUUGGAGGCUUAACUGACUGAGCCACUUAGGUGUCCCCCAUAUUCCUCCUUUAAAAAUUAAAAACAAUUUUUUAUUUGUGUGAGAGAGAGCAUGCAAGCAGGAAAGAGGAGUAAGGAAGAGGGUGAGAGAGAGAAUCUCAAGCAGGCUCCAUGCUCAGCACAGAGCCCAGUGCUUGAUCCCACAAGCUUAGGAUCAUGACCUGAGCUGAAAUCAAGAGUUGGAUGCUCAACCAACUGAACCACCCAGGUGCCCCCUACUUCCUCCUGUUUUGAUUGCUGUGUGAUAUUCUAACAUAUGGCUGUACUAUAAUUUCUCUUAACAUCUCCCAUUGAUGGGUAUUUGGAUUGUUUCUACUUUUUUACUAAAACAAACAAUAAGUUAGCAUCUGUGAACACUGGGCCGCACUUACACAUGUAAAUGUCUCUCCACUGCAAAUUUCCGGAAGGACAAUUGCUGAGUCAAAGACAGUUUCAGUUUUUGUCAUCUUAAUAGCUAUUUCAGAUCUGUUCCUAUCAGCUGAAUUUGAUGUUACCACCUUUCCCAUACCUAUAGAAUUAUUGUAUUGAAUUUUAAAUCUUUGCCAAUUUUUCAUAUUUCCUCUUUUAAUGAAUAUUUAUUUAAAUAAGGGGUUGAACAUCUUUUGCACAUUUUGGGGGCUACUCCCAACAUUUCAAAUACUGAGGUAUCAUUUAUAUACAUCAUAUUAGUUUCAGGUGUACAAACAGUGAGUUGAUAUUUGUAUAUAUUACAAAAUGAUCACCACAAUUAGUUUGCUGACAUUUUUCACCAUACAUAAUUACAGAAUUUUUUUUCUUGUGAUGAGAACUUUUAAGAUCUACUCUCUUAGCGACUUCCAAAUAUACAAUACAGCAGUAUUAACCACAAUAUUAUUAAUUAUAGUCAACUAUAGCCAAUACAGUAUUAUUAACUAAAAUACAGUAACUAUGUAAUGCUGUACAUUACAUCCCUAUGACUUAAUUAUUUUAUAACUGAAAGUUAUCCUUCACCCAUUUGCUUACCUACACCCCCACCCCCACCCCUCACAACAACCAACCUAUUCUCUGUAUCUAGGAGCCUGUUUUUGUUGUUGUUUGUUCGUUUCUUCAGAUUCUACACAUAAGUUAGAUCAUACAGUGCUUGUCUUUCUCUUUCUGACUUAUUUCACUUAGCACAAUGCCCUUAAGAUCCCUCCAUGUUGUCUCAAAUGGCAAGAUGUCUUUUUAUGGCUGAGUAAUAUUCCACUGCAUGUAUAUAUCACAUUUUCUUUAUCCAUUCACCUAUUGAUGGACGCAGCUGUUUUUCAUAGCCUUGGCUAUUAUAAAUAAUGUUGCAAUGAACAUAAGUUUACGUAUAUCUUUUUGAGUUAGUGCUUUCAUCUUCUUUGGAUAACUACCCAGAAGUGAGAUUGCUGGAUAGCAUGAUAGUUGUAGUUUUUAAUUUUUUUGAGGAAACUUCGUACUAUUUUCCACAGUGGCUGCAUGAAUUUAAAAUCCCACCAACAGUGCCCAGGGUUCCUUUUUCUCCACAUCCUCAUCAGCAUUUGUUAUUUCUUGUCUUUUUGGUAAUAGCCGUGCUAACAGCUGUGAGGUGUGAGGUGAUUUUUCCUUGCGGUUUUGACUUGGAUUUCCCUGAUAAUUAAUGAUUUUGAGCAUCUUUUCAUGUACUUAUUCAUAAUUUGUGUGUCUCUUUAAAAAAAUGUCUAUUCAGGGGUGCCUGGGUGGCUCAGUCAGUUGAACGUCUGACUCUUGAUUUCAGCUCAGGUCACGAUCCCAGGGUCAUGGGACUGAGACCCGCACUGAGCUCUGUGCUGAACGUGGAGCCUGCUUGAGAUUCUCUCUCUCUCUCUCUCUCUCUCUCUCUCUCCCCCCCUCUCUCCCUCUCUCCCCCUUUGCCACUCUUCCACACUGUCCCCUGCCUCCCCUCUAAAAAAAUAAAUAAAAAUAAAAUGUUUAUUCUGAUCAUUCUUCUGCAUACAUUGAUAAGCCAUUUGUAUUUCUUGUUAUGUGAUUAGUACUCAUCUUUAUUUUUCUCUUUGAGUUUUUCUCUUUUUUUCAUAUUUACUUACAAUAACUCAUUUAAAGAUUGCCUUUUGACUUUUGAGGGGCACUUCUAGUUAAUUGUUAUGGAGACAGAUUUGUCCAAAUUUUCUUUUACAGUCAUACUGUCUAGCCUUAUGCUAGGGUUUUGUGGGCUUUUCUUACCAGAUGUUAGGGCUUCACUUACUUGUCUCUCCUGUUCCAUGGGUCUAUUUUCCUAUUUUUGCAGCAAUGCCACACUGUUUUUUGUUUGUUUGUGUGUUUGUUUGUUUUAUCACUGCAUCUUUGUAAUAAGUCUUUUUUUCUUUAAAAUUUUUUUUAAUGUUUAUUUAUUUUUGAGACAGAGAGAGACAGAGCAUGAAUGGGGGAGGGUCAGAGAGAGGGAGACACAGAAUCUGAAACAGGCUCCAGGCUCUGAGCUGCCAGCACAGAGCCCGACGCGGGGCUCAAACUCACGGACCGUGAGAUCAUGACCUGAGCCGAGGUCGGCUGCUUAACCGACUGAGCCACCCAGGUGCCCCUGUAAUAAGUCUUAAUACCUGGUAGAGUGAGUUCCUUUUCUUUAAUAUUUCACUAAAUAUUUUUUCUUUAAUGGUUAUUUAUUUUUGAGAGAGAUAGAGAGAGAGCAGGGAAGGGACAGAGAGGGAGACACAAAAUCUGAAGCAGGAUCCAGGCUCUAAACUGUCAGCACAGAGCCUGAUGUGGGGCUUGAACUCAUAAACCGUGAGAUCAUGACCUGAGCUGAAAUUGGCCAUUUAACUGACCAAGCCACCCAGGUGCCUCUUUAAUAUUUCAUUUUUAAAAUGACCUAGCACUUCAUGAUCUUCUAUUCUUUUGGAAACGUUUUGGAUUAAGUUUAUCAAAUUCUUAAAACUACCAGGUAGAUUUUCAUUUGAAUUGAACAUAUUCUAUAGGUUGACUUGAAUAUAUGAUUGACUUGUGGAAAACAGAUUACUUCAUAAUAUGAAUGCAUACCAUUCUAGAAUGUGGAAGAAAUACCCCAUUUUUGGAUACUGAAAUACUCUUUAGUCUUUUAAUAAAGUCCAAAAUUUUUCUUAGAGAUCUUAUACAUUUUUGGUUAAAUUAACCCUAAGAUAUAUUUUUUAAUGUUUAUUUUUGAGAGAGAGAGAGAGAGAGAGCAAGUGCAUGCUCUAGUGGGGGAGGGGGAGGCAGAGGAUCUGAAGUGAGCUCUGUGCUGACAGCAGAGAGCCUGAUGUGGGACUUGAACUCACGAGGACUGAGAUCAUGACCUCAGCCAAAGAUGGACACUUAAAUGACUGAGCCACCCAGGCACCACAACCCUAAGAUACUUUCAUUGCUAUGGUGAAUCAUAUCUUCUAUUGGGAUUGAGAGAAGUUUAUAAAUUCAUUUGGAAUAUAGAGAUUUCAUAUCUAAGUUUAAUCCAGGUAUUUAUUUCUUCUUCUUCUUCUUCUUCUUCUUCUUCUUCUUCUUCUUCUUUUUCUUUUAUUUUUUCUAAUUAGUUGUUAUUUCAACAUAGAAAAACAAUUUUUUCAUUUGCAUAUACAUUUUGUGCCAGUGAACAUAGUAAAUACUAAGUAUGGAGUCUUGUAUCCAAAAACAUGUUUUCAAUAAAAGCUUUUGGAACAACUGGGGAGCUAUCCAGAAAAAACUUAACUCAACCUGCUUUUCAUGUAUUGUAACAUGACAACAUCAGGAUGGAAUCAAAUAUUUAAAAAUUUUUAAUGUUUAUUUAUUUUUGAGAGAGAGAGAGAGAAAGAGAGAGCACGAGUGGGGGAGAAGCAGAGAGGAGAGGGAGACACAGAAUCUGAAGCAGGCUCCAGGCUCUGAGUUGUCAGCACAGAGCCUGGUGUGGGGCUCAAACUCACAAACCAUGAGAUCAUGACCUGAGCCGAAGUUGGAUGCUUAACCUACUGAGCCACGCAGGUGCCCCAGGAUGGAAUCAAAUUUAAAAUAAAAAAUAAAAGUGCCUUAAACGCUUUAGAGAAAACUGUGGGAAAUUAUUUUAUAGCUCCAUAAUAAGGAAGCCCUUAUUUUUGACAAAAGUGCCAGGAAAUAUACAAGAAGAGAUUGCUGUACUGUUGCCUGAAAAAGAUAAAGAGCAGUGUGUAUAGUAUAUAGUAUGCUACUGUAUAAUUUUUUUAAUGCAAAAAAGUAGCUCUGGAAGAAUACAUUAAAAAAAAAAAAAAAGAACCUAGGCAAACUGUGAGGAUGGGAAAUGAGUGAGUUGAGUCGUAAGAAUGGUGUUUUAUAAUUUUCCAGUUUUGAGCCAGUUAACUAUAUCAUUAAAAUUUACAUCACCACACAAAUUGAAGGGGAUUAAAGAAAAAGAAUUCACCCCCACACCCCCUUACUGGAUCUUCAAUGUUUAUAAAAGGUUUCUGGUGUAUUCUCUUGUGUUUUCUAAGCAUAGAAUCACUAUCUGCCAACAAUGACACACUUACCCCCACAUUUCAGAUUGCCUUACUCUCUUUUUUUCUUGUCUAAUUGCAUUAGCUAGGAUCUCUAGUACCAUGAGAAAUAAAACAUUGGAUCUCUUUCUUUUGUUUCCUACUCAUUGCCUUUUGAUUUUGCUCUCUUGCAGUAAACAAUAUUUAAUUUUUAUGCAAAAUCGUAAACCUUUUUGUGGUUGGAUUUUUGGUCUUGUGCUUUGGACAGAAAACCUUCUAAAAAUACCCAGCUAAAUUUCCUCUCCUAUUUCUGUGAUACUGAUCUUCUUUUCCAAAUACCACUUUAUCGAGGUGUGAUGGACACAUUAAAAAGCUGUACAUCUUUAAGGCGCACAACUUAAUGGGUUUGGAGAUAUUUGAUCCAUCUGGAAUUUAUUUCGUUAUAGGGAGAGAUGAUCUCAUGGGGCAGUAGAGAACUGGGGUGGGGGUGGGGGGUAAGGGUCUCUGUUUUUGCUCCCUGGAUAACUGUUGCGGGGCGGGGGUGGGGAGGGGUCCUUAGGGACGACCUAGCCCAGUUGCCUUUCCUGACCAUGUGCAUCAAGGAGAGUCUGCGGUUGCACCCCCCGGUCACAGUCGUCUCCCGCUGCUGUACCCAGGACGUCGUGCUCCCAGAUGGCCGGGUUAUCCCCAAAGG
This 9505-nucleotide long non-coding RNA is filed under the name Lynx pardinus (Iberian lynx). Lineage: Eukaryota; Metazoa; Chordata; Mammalia; Carnivora; Felidae. The record is from RNAcentral.